UGUUUGAUGUUCUAACGUGGACCCGUGAUCCGGGUUGCGGACAGUGUCUGGUGGGUAGUUUGACUGGGGCGGUCUCCUCCUAAAGAGUAACGGAGGAGCACGAAGGUUGGCUAAUCCUGGUCGGACAUCAGGAGGUUAGUGCAAUGGCAUAAGCCAGCUUGACUGCGAGCGUGACGGCGCGAGCAGGUGCGAAAGCAGGUCAUAGUGAUCCGGUGGUUCUGAAUGGAAGGGCCAUCGCUCAACGGAUAAAAGGUACUCCGGGGAUAACAGGCUGAUACCGCCCAAGAGUUCAUAUCGACGGCGGUGUUUGGCACCUCGAUGUCGGCUCAUCACAUCCUGGGGCUGAAGUAGGUCCCAAGGGUAUGGCUGUUCGCCAUUUAAAGUGGUACGCGAGCUGGGUUUAGAACGUCGUGAGACAGUUCGGUCCCUAUCUGCCGUGGGCGCUGGAGAACUGAGGGGGGCUGCUCCUAGUACGAGAGGACCGGAGUGGACGCAUCACUGGUGUUCGGGUUGUCAUGCCAAUGGCACUGCCCGGUAGCUAAAUGCGGAAGAGAUAAGUGCUGAAAGCAUCUAAGCACGAAACUUGCCCCGAGAUGAGUUCUCCCUGACCCUUUAAGGGUCCUGAAGGAACGUUGAAGACGACGACGUUGAU
This 652-nucleotide ribosomal RNA is filed under the name Shigella sonnei. RNAcentral's name for it is "partial 23S ribosomal RNA". It matches the Rfam family "Bacterial large subunit ribosomal RNA", at positions 2211 to 2857 of the family's 2925-position model. Lineage: Bacteria; Pseudomonadati; Pseudomonadota; Gammaproteobacteria; Enterobacterales; Enterobacteriaceae. The record is from RNAcentral.